GGGGGGGAAAGGGGGAGGGACGGAGGGGGAGGACCCAGGGGUGUCAUUCCCUGGGGUUGCGGGGCGCUGCUGGCGUCCCAAGUUUGGCUCCGGUGCUGCUGCUGAGGAGGUCGCUUAUUAUUUCUAUUACUCCUCCCCUCUUUUUUCCUCUUUCUUCCUUACUCCUUCGUAUUCCAAACUACCUGCCGAAUUUACCAGCCGAUGUUUUUCAAAGGCUUUGGCCGGCGCUGCGGUCCGCGCGUCCAAAAAAUAUCAGCGUGCUUAACGGGAAACGGGGAGCGCUGCUGAGCGACCAGUCACAGCAGCGACUAUCAGUGCUGGGUCAGUGGCGGAGCUGGCAAGGAGCUUCCCUCGCCCACAGGUCACUGAGCAAAGUUGUUUUGUGUCCAUGCAUCGCAGCUCCCAUCCUGGGACAUAAUAAGGGGAGGAUUUGUAGGCAUUCCUAGGAACGCAACCUCGCCAAGUGUUGAUUCAAAAUGGUGCAUUAUUUUAAAGCACCUUAUUUUACACUUCAGCUUCCAAGAAAAAACACUCUCAGAGCCUUUUUAUUUUUUUUCUUUCCCUCCCCUGCUUUUGUUUAGAAAGAAAACAGCAGAUUUGCUUUUCCGUUUUACCGGGGACACUCGCACGAUGCUGGUUCCACGAGCUGCAUAAUAGCAAACACCGGGGACCGGUACCGCGCACCCGAACCGAGCGCCUGCCGGACCGCAGCUCUACAGCAGCCCCGAGCCGGGGAGAACCGUGCCCACCUGGAGGCAUUAAAAAGCAAACGGAGCUCGGGUGAGGAGGGACAGCCCCGACAGGAAAAUCAGCCCCCCCCCCCCCCCCACCUUUAGCCCCGCGCUUUCUUAAAGUUGUAGCCCAUGAAAUUGUAUCGAAGCCAAGAGUUGUGAUGAGCAAUAAAGGAGGGAAGAGGAGUCUGGUAAUGCGGUUCUGGAUUCAAACGCGGUUUGGGAUGGAAGGAAAGUGAGCAGGAAAGCUGCUGCUGCUGGUGUUUGUGCUUUCAUACAGCGGACUGAAAAACAAACACUUGGAUUUUGCACUGUGACCUCCCUUCAGUGUCCAGGAAGAGAAUGACUUAAGUGUUAACUAAAGCAGGCCUUCACAGAGGAGGAAGAGCAAAAGCUUUCCAACAUGUAUUCUCAGAGAAAUCAGCCAUGCCUGGGUUUAUAAAAGUGAACAGGAGCAGCAGCACCUCAGAUUGCAACAGCCAGUGCACUUGGUUGGCAUUGUGAAAUACAAAAUAACAAAGCCUAAAGCUCCGUGGAAGACACCCUGCAACACCAGCCAUUUUCUGCCUAUCGCUGUGUCAUCUGAGCCAUCCUUAGUUCGUUUGCUCCUUGAUGUUAUUUUUUUCAGUGCCUGUGAAACUAGGAAUGGCACGCAGCAUGCUUGGAAUUUGGCCAGGUUCCUGUUGAGAUAGUAGAAUGGAAAGAAAAUAAAAAAGUACACUGACCCAAUUUAUCCAACUAAAUGUAUUGGGCCAUGACAAUAAAUGCUGUGAACGUGUUUAUCUUUGAAUCAUUUUUCAGGUGAAGCAGCUUAGGACAAUAUAUUAUAAAUGGAGCUGGAGAUCAGGGACUAAAGACUUCUCAUCAGGUGGUUUAUAACU
Molecule: non-coding RNA, 1612 nt
Organism: Coturnix japonica (Japanese quail)
Lineage: Eukaryota; Metazoa; Chordata; Aves; Galliformes; Phasianidae
Source: RefSeq, a predicted model, not a curated record